GAUGAAGAACGCAGCGAAAUGCGAUACGUAAUGUGAAUUGCAAAUUCAGUGAAUCAUCGAGUCUUUGAACGCACAUUGCGCCCCCUGGUAUUCCGGGGGGCAUGCCUGUCCGAGCGUCAUUGCUGCCCUCAAGCACGGCUUGUGUGUUGGGCCCCGUCCUCCGAUCCCGGGGGACGGGCCCGAAAGGCAGCGGCGGCACCGCGCCCGGUCCUCGAGCGUAUGGGGCUUUGUCACCCGCUCUGUAGGCCCGGCCGGCGCUUGCCGAUCAACCCAAAUUUUUAUCCAGGUUGACCUCGGAUCAGGUAGGGAUACCCGCUGAACUUAAGCAUAUCAAUAAGCGGAGGA
RNAcentral lists this unclassified non-coding RNA (345 nucleotides) under soil metagenome. Its description in RNAcentral is "partial contains 5.8S ribosomal RNA, internal transcribed spacer 2, and large subunit ribosomal RNA". The stretch from base 1 to 119 matches the Rfam family "5.8S ribosomal RNA", at positions 35 to 154 of the family's 154-position model. The record is from RNAcentral.